UGUUGGGUGUGUGCAGGGCGUUCGGUGGAUGCCUGGGCAUCAAGGGCCGAAGAAGGACGUGGCAGUCUGCGAUAAGCCUCGGGGAGUUGGCAAGCGAGCGGUGAUCCGGGGGUGUCCGAAUGGGGGAACCUGGCCGGGGUUGUGCCUGGUCGCCCGUGUGUGAAGUUCAUAGCGCGCGGGUGGGAACGCGGGGAAGUGAAACAUCUUAGUACCUGCUGGAGAAGAUAUUCCGUUAGUAGUGGCGAGCGAAGGCGGAGGAGCCUAAACCGUGUGCGUGUAUCAGCCGCCGGGCGGUGCGUGUGCGGUGUUGUGGGCAUGCUUGUGGCCGUGCCGGUGUGCGGCCGGGCAGUGAGAAACCGUCGGGGUAGGCGAAGGGUCUGGGAAGGCCCGCCGGAGUGGGUGAGAGCCCCGUAGCCGAAAUCGCGGCGGCUGUCUGAGUGUGUUCCUGAGUAGCACGGGGCUCGUGGAAUCUCGUGUGAAGGUGGCAAGACCACUUGUCAAGGCUGAAUACCCUUGGUGACCGAUAGUGGAUGAGUACCGUGAGGGAAAGGUGAAAAGUACCCCGGGAGGGGAGUGAAAGAGUGCCUGAAACCGGGCGCCUGCAAUCCGUCAGAGCCCUUUGUUGUGGGGGUGAUGGCGUGCCUUUUGAAGAAUGAGCCUGCGAGUUAGGGGCGUGUGGCGAGGUUAACCCGUGUGGGGCAGCCGUAGCGAAAGCGAGUCUGAAAUAUGGCGGUCAGUCGUGCGUUCUAGACCCGAAGCGGGGUGAUCUACCCAUGUCCAGGGUGAAGCGCGUGUAAGAGCGUGUGGAGGCCCGGACCCACCGGGGUUGAAAACCCGGGGGAUGAGGUGUGGGUAGGGGUGAAAGGCCAAUCAAACUCCGUGAUAGCUGGUUCUCCCCGAAAUGCAUUUAGGUGCAGCGUUGCGUGGUUCUUUGCGGAGGUAGAGCGACUGGAUGGCUGAUGGGCCCCACCGGGUUACUGAGGUCAGCCAAACUCCGAAUGCCGCAAAGUGUGAGCGUGGCAGUGAGACGGCGGGGGAUAAGCUUCGUCGUCGAGAGGGAAACAGCCCGGAUCGUCGGUUAAGGCCCCUAAGGGUGUGCUAAGUGGGAAAGGAUGUGUCGUUGCUGUGACAGCCAGGAGGUUGGCUUAGAAGCAGCCAUCCUUGAAAGAGUGCGUAAUAGCUCACUGGUCAAGUGGUGAUGCGCCGACAAUGUAGCGGGGCUUAAGCACACCGCCGAAGCCGCGGCGCCCUCCGUGUGGGGGGUGGGUAGGGGAGCGUCCUGCGUGGGGGGAAGCCGUCGUGUGAGCGUCGGUGGACUGCGUGGGAGUGAGAAUGCAGGCAUGAGUAACGAGUGGCGGGUGAGAAUCCCGUCCGCCGAUUGACUAAGGGUUCCAGGGCCAGGUUGAUCCGCCCUGGGUUAGUCGGGUCCUAAGGCGAGGCCGUCAGGCGUAGUCGAUGGGCAACGGGUUGACAUUCCCGUACCGGACGGCGGCCGUCCGAUGUCUGCUGGGUGGGGCGUUGUCGUCCCUGUGCGUCGUUUCUGCGCCUUUCGGGGUGUGGGGGGCGUGCGGGCGCGGGGCGUGCCUGUCUGGUGUGGCAAGCGUGGUAACAGGUGUGACGCAGUGAGGUAGCCUGUCCGUGUCUUAUGGCUUGGCACGGCCAAGGGUGUGGCCCCUCGCCGUGGUAAAUCCCGGCGGUGUGUGGGUGAGGCCUGAUGGGGACCGUUGAUGGGAAGCGGGUGAUCCUGUGCUGCCGAGAAAAGCAUCGACGCGAGGCCGUUGUCCGCCCGUACCCGAAACCGACACAGGUGGUCAGGUAGAGUAUACCGAGGCGUUCGAGUGACUCGUGGUCAAGGAACUCGGCAAAAUGCCCCCGUAACUUCGGGAGAAGGGGGGCCCUGCGCGUGGUCCGUCCGUGCGGCGGGGAGCGUGGCGGGGCCGCAGAGUCCAGGGAGAAGCGACUGUUUAUCAAAAACACAGGUCCGUGCCAAGCCGCAAGGCGAUGUAUACGGACUGACGCCUGCCCGGUGCUGGAAGGUUAAGCGGACCGGUCAGCCCCUCUUUGUGGGGGUGACGCCGGGAAGUUAAGCCCCAGUAAACGGCGGUGGUAACUAUAACCAUCCUAAGGUAGCGAAAUUCCUUGUCGGGUAAGUUCCGACCUGCACGAAUGGCGUAACGACUUCUCCGCUGUCUCGACCACGAACUCGGUGAAAUUGCAGUACGAGUAAAGAUGCUCGUUUCGCGCAGCAGGACGGAAAGACCCCGGGACCUUUACUGCAGCUUGGUAUGGGUGUUCGGCGCGGUUUGUGUAGGAUAGGUGGGAGACGGUGAUCCGCUCGCGCUAGCGGGCGGGGAGUCGCUGGUGAAAUACCACUCUGGCCGUGUUGGGCUCCUAACCUCGGCCCGUGAUCCGGGUCAGGGACAGUGCCUGGUGGGUAGUUUAACUGGGGCGGUUGCCUCCUAAAGGGUAACGGAGGCGCUCAAAGGUCCCCUCAGCCUGGUUGGUCAUCAGGUGGCGAGUGCAAGUGCACAAGGGGGCUUGACUGUGAGACUGACAGGUCGAGCAGGCACGAAAGUGGGAACUAGUGAUCCGGCGGUCGCGUGUGGAAGCGCCGUCGCUCAACGGAUAAAAGGUACCCCGGGGAUAACAGGCUGAUCCUGCCCAAGAGUUCAUAUCGACGGCAUGGUUUGGCACCUCGAUGUCGGCUCGUCGCAUCCUGGGGCUGGAGUAGGUCCCAAGGGUUGGGCUGUUCGCCCAUUAAAGCGGUACGCGAGCUGGGUUCAGAACGUCGUGAGACAGUUCGGUCCCUAUCCGCUGCGCGCGCAGGAGAAUUGAGAAGGGCUGUCCCCAGUACGAGAGGACCGGGACGGACGAACCUCUGGUGUGCCAGUUGUUCCGCCAGGAGCACGGCUGGUUGGCUACGUUCGGGAGGGAUAACCGCUGAAAGCAUCUAAGCGGGAAGCCCGCUUCAAGACGAGUUCUCCACCACCCUCGCGGUGGGAAGGCCCCCCGAAGACGACGGGGUUGAUAGACCGGACGUGGACGCCCCGCAAGGGAGUGAAGCCGACCGGCACUAAUGGGCCGACCAACCCAACACA
Molecule: non-coding RNA, 3098 nt
Organism: Actinomyces sp. oral taxon 848
Lineage: Bacteria; Bacillati; Actinomycetota; Actinomycetes; Actinomycetales; Actinomycetaceae
Source: Rfam